This 254-nucleotide ribosomal RNA is filed under the name uncultured bacterium. RNAcentral's name for it is "partial 16S ribosomal RNA". It matches the Rfam family "Bacterial small subunit ribosomal RNA", at positions 524 to 776 of the family's 1533-position model. The record is from RNAcentral.
UACGGAGGGAGCUAGCGUUGUUCGGAAUUACUGGGCGUAAAGCGCGCGUAGGCGGCUUUGUAAGUUAGAGGUGAAAGCCCGGGGCUCAACCCCGGAAUUGCCUUUAAGACUGCAUCGCUUGAAUCCGGGAGAGGUGAGUGGAAUUCCGAGUGUAGAGGUGAAAUUCGUAGAUAUCGGGAGGAACACCGGUGGCGAAGGCGGCGAUCUGGGGUCGAUACUGACGCUGAGGUGCGAAAGCGUGGGGAGCGAACAGG